AGUGAACGCUGGCGGUAGGCCUAACACAUGCAAGUCGAACGGCAGCACAGUAAGAGCUUGCUCUUACGGGUGGCGAGUGGCGGACGGGUGAGGAAUACAUCGGAAUCUACUUUUUCGUGGGGGAUAACGUAGGGAAACUUACGCUAAUACCGCAUACGACCUACGGGUGAAAGCAGGGGAUCUUCGGACCUUGCGCGAUUGAAUGAGCCGAUGUUGGAUUAGCUAGUUGGCGGGGUAAAGGCCCACCAAGGCAACGAUGCGUAGCCGGUCUGAGAGGAUGAUCGGCCACACUGGAACUGAGACACGGUCCAGACUCCUACGGGAGGCAGCAGUAGGGAAUCUUCCGCAAUGGGCGAAAGCCUGACGCAGCAACGCCGCGUGAGUGAUGAAGGUCUUCGGAUCGUAAAACUCUGUUAUUAGGGAAGAACAUAUGUGUAAGUAACUGUGCACAUCUUGACGGUACCUAAUCAGAAAGCAACGGCUAACUACGUG
This 492-nucleotide ribosomal RNA is filed under the name uncultured bacterium. Its description in RNAcentral is "partial 16S ribosomal RNA". It matches the Rfam family "Bacterial small subunit ribosomal RNA", at positions 29 to 507 of the family's 1533-position model. The record is from RNAcentral.